This is a long non-coding RNA of Pogoniulus pusillus (Red-fronted tinkerbird), 1054 nucleotides long. RefSeq lists it as uncharacterized. The transcript has 3 exons. NCBI's taxonomy places the organism in Eukaryota, Metazoa, Chordata, Aves, Piciformes, Lybiidae. The record is from RefSeq and is a predicted model, not a curated record.
UGGCAGAGCAAGAUUAGGUUGUAAGGGCCUAAUGGACAUGGGAAAACUUAAAAUUACUACACGAGAGAUGGACACUUGAGUGAAACCAAAAGCAUUAGAGAGAGCUUGAGACGUGCCUAUCAUACAUAGUUUCUAUCUAUUUUAAUUAAGGUUCUCUUUCCUCUUCCAGGCCUUACAAUGAAAGCAGAAAAUAGGGUAAGGCUCAAUAGACUGCCGUGGAUGACACUGGAAAAGGUACUUAUUGAGGAGGGCUGCAAAAAGAACGAGGCCAACACCCAUGCAGUUUUUCAAAUGUAUUUCAAAGAAACAACAUUUUCUGCACUAAGAGGGAAAAUGAGAGUGCUUUUAACAAUAUAAAGCUGUUGCCUGAUGCAGCCCAUUGGUGCACACCUCCACUACUGAUCUAAGAUGUGUGCUUACUGGCACUGAAUUAAAACCCAAGUCUUUGUGCUAGUAACUCUGGAAGCUUGUUAGUGAAAACAUUGUAAGACCUCAAAGUGCUAAGCACAAAUCUGAUAGUUCCUGUCCAUUUGCUUCUAUCAUGAGAGCUUCGAUAUCAUGGACUUCUUGGUUGCCAUGUUGGUUGGUAUUUCAUUUUAGUUGAAUUUUGGACAAAGAUGUUUGCAGAGCUGAGGACGUCUCAACAACAGUAAAACUAUAGGAGCUGGAAUAGGUCCUGGAACAGGUCUGUUAGUGCACUCUUGGUCCAAAACUGCACACAUUUUGGAAGAAAAGAAAGGAGUGUUGGAAUUGCUGCCACAGCAAAGGAAGAAAAGGAGUAAGAAAGGGAAGAAAUGCUUGUUGCUUUUAAAAGCAAAAUUAUGGCAUUGGUGGAAAUAUAUUGGAGAUUAUUGAUUUCAGUCACUGAUGCUGGAAAACACAAGCUGUUUAGGUGUGAUAGUUCUCCCAUAUUUUUUUUAGUUACAGACUCAGUUAGUUGAUAGUCUAAACAUUUCAAUUUUACUGUCCACUCUUCCAUUCAAUGCACGUCUGAUAUAAGAUACAGUCCAAGCUAUGGGCAAAAAGCGAAGCCAGAAGUAACAAUCAAUUGAAA